UACGUAGGUGGCGAGCGUUGUCCGGAUUUACUGGGCGUAAAGAGCGCGCAGGCGGUCGUACAAGUCGCGUGUGAAAGCCCCCAGCUCAACUGGGGAGGGUCACGCGAUACUGUUCGACUGGAAGGCAGGAGAGGGAAGUGGAAUUCCCGGUGUAGUGGUGAAAUGCGUAGAUAUCGGGAGGAACACCAGUGGCGAAGGCGACUUCCUGGCCUGUUCUUGACGCUGAGGCGCGAAAGCUAGGGUAGCAAACGGG
Molecule: ribosomal RNA, 253 nt
Filed under: uncultured bacterium
Lineage: Bacteria
Description: partial 16S ribosomal RNA
Rfam family: Bacterial small subunit ribosomal RNA
Source: RNAcentral